AGGGCACCACCAGAAGUGGAGCCUGCGGUUUAAUUUGACUCAACACGGGGAAACUCACCCGGCCCGGACACUGGAAGGAUUGACAGAUUGAGAGCUCUUUCUUGACUCAGUGGGUGGUGGUGCAUGGCCGUUCUUAGUUGGUGGAGUGAUUUGUCUGGUUAAUUCCGAUAACGAACGAGACUCUAGCCUACUAAAUAGACCUCGGCAUUCUUUGUACUGUCGAGGCGCUUCUUAGAGGGACAGGCGGCGUUUCAGCCGCAUGAGAAAGAGCAAUAACAGGUCUGUGAUGCCCUUAGAUGUCCGGGGCCGCACGCGCGCUACACUGAAGAGAUCAGCGUGCAUGUGCUUCCUACUCCGAAAGGAGCGGGAAACCGAGUGAACCUUUUUCGUGCUUGGGAUUGGGGAUUGUAAUUAUUCUCCAUGAACGAGGAAUUCCCAGUAAGCACAAGUCAUCAGCUUGUGUUGAUUACGUCCCUGCCCUUUGUACACACCGCCCGUCGCUACUACCGAUUGGAUGUU
This 519-nucleotide ribosomal RNA is filed under the name uncultured eukaryote. RNAcentral's name for it is "SSU rRNA". It matches the Rfam family "Eukaryotic small subunit ribosomal RNA", at positions 1161 to 1697 of the family's 1831-position model. The record is from RNAcentral.